GGGUCAGUAGGUUGGUCGUGCCACCGGUACGUACUGGUCUCACUGGUUCCUCCUUCCUGUAGAACCGUAAUGCCAUUAAUUUGGUGUUGCGGGGAAACAGGACUGUUACUUUGAAAAAAUUAGAGUGUUUAAAGCAAGCUAACGCUUGAAUACAUUAGCAUGGAAUAAUGAAAUAGGACGAUCGAUCCUAUUUUGUUGGUUUCUAGGAUUGACGUA
This 216-nucleotide ribosomal RNA is filed under the name Glomeromycotina sp. RNAcentral describes it as "partial small subunit ribosomal RNA". The stretch from base 47 to 216 matches the Rfam family "Eukaryotic small subunit ribosomal RNA", at positions 693 to 864 of the family's 1831-position model. The record is from RNAcentral. Lineage: Eukaryota; Fungi; Glomeromycota.